UUUGUGUAUAAUGUAUUAAGGGGAGAUAAUCAAUCCAAUUGACUUCAUAGGGGUGAACAAAAAGAUUGUUUUAUGAUGUCAGGUUUGAGGUAAUGGAAUGUUAUAGUUUGUGUAUAAUGUAUAAAGGGGAGAUAAUCAAUCCAAAUGACUUCAUAAGGGGUGAACUAAAAGAUUUGUUUGAUACUGUCAGAUUUGAGGUAACGGUAGGUUAUACUUUGUGUAUAAUGUAUUAAGGGGAGAUAAUCAAUCUAAAUGACUUCAUAAGGGGUGAAC
Molecule: long non-coding RNA, 273 nt
Filed under: Mytilus galloprovincialis (Mediterranean mussel)
Lineage: Eukaryota; Metazoa; Mollusca; Bivalvia; Mytilida; Mytilidae
Source: RNAcentral